GUGGGUAGUUUGACUGGGGCGGUCUCCUCCUAAAGAGUAACGGAGGAGCACGAAGGUUGGCUAAUCCUGGUCGGACAUCAGGAGGUUAGUGCAAUGGCAUAAGCCAGCUUGACUGCGAGCGUGACGGCGCGAGCAGGUGCGAAAGCAGGUCAUAGUGAUCCGGUGGUUCUGAAUGGAAGGGCCAUCGCUCAACGGAUAAAAGGUACUCCGGGGAUAACAGGCUGAUACCGCCCAAGAGUUCAUAUCGACGGCGGUGUUUGGCACCUCGAUGUCGGCUCAUCACAUCCUGGGGCUGAAGUAGGUCCCAAGGGUAUGGCUGUUCGCCAUUUAAAGUGGUACGCGAGCUGGGUUUAGAACGUCGUGAGACAGUUCGGUCCCUAUCUGCCGUGGGCGCUGGAGAACUGAGGGGGGCUGCUCCUAGUACGAGAGGACCGGAGUGGACGCAUCACUGGUGUUCGGGUUGUCAUGCCAAUGGCACUGCCCGGUAGCUAAAUGCGGAAGAGAUAAGUGCUGAAAGCAUCUAAGCACGAAACUUGCCCCGAGAUGAGUUCUCCCUGACUCCUUGAGAGUCCUGAAGGAACGUUGAAGACGACGACGUUGAUAGGCCGGGUGUGUAAGCGCAGCGAUGCGUUGAGCUAACCGGUACUAAUGAACCGUGAGGCUUAACCUUACAACGCCGAAG
Molecule: ribosomal RNA, 682 nt
Filed under: Escherichia coli
Lineage: Bacteria; Pseudomonadati; Pseudomonadota; Gammaproteobacteria; Enterobacterales; Enterobacteriaceae
Description: partial 23S ribosomal RNA
Rfam family: Bacterial large subunit ribosomal RNA
Source: RNAcentral